CUGCUUCACUCGCUCACACAUAAACAAUCUCCCUCUCCUCAGACGCGCUCCUUUAUCUCUCCUGAUAGAGUUUGACUCUGAAUCAUCAUCAUGUCUUCAAACAUGAGCCUCAAGACGAUGAAACGGACCGUUGAGCAGCUCAAACUCGAAGCCAGCAUGGAGAGAAUCAAAGUUUCUCAAGCAGCUGCGGAUCUACUGCAGUACUGCCUCCAGAACGCCAGUGAAGACGCGCUCCUGUUCGGCGCCCCAAUCAGCUGUAAGCUGGUCAGGACGCUGUGCUCAUGCACCCUGCUCUAGAAUGAAGGAGAGAGGAGGCUGAUCAAUGGGA
This is a long non-coding RNA of Carassius carassius (crucian carp), 328 nucleotides long. RefSeq lists it as uncharacterized. Lineage: Eukaryota; Metazoa; Chordata; Actinopteri; Cypriniformes; Cyprinidae. The record is from RefSeq and is a predicted model, not a curated record. The transcript is spliced from 3 exons.